RNAcentral lists this ribosomal RNA (466 nucleotides) under uncultured bacterium. Its description in RNAcentral is "partial 16S ribosomal RNA". It matches the Rfam family "Bacterial small subunit ribosomal RNA", at positions 28 to 505 of the family's 1533-position model. The record is from RNAcentral.
GACGAACGCUGGCGGCGUGCUUAACACAUGCAAGUCGAACGGAAAGGCCCUGCUUUUGUGGGGUGCUCGAGUGGCGAAAGGGUGAGUAACACGUGAGUAACCUGCCCUUGACUUUGGGAUAACUUCAGGAAACUGGGGCUAAUACCGGAUAUGAGCUCCUGCUGCAUGGUGGGGGUUGGAAAGUUUCGGCGGUUGGGGUUGGAGUGGCGGCUUAUCAGCUUGUUGGUGGGGUAGUGGCUUACCAAGGCUUUGACGGGUAGCCGGCCUGAGAGGGUGACCGGCCACAUUGGAGCUGCGUAACGGCCGAGGCUCUUGGGGGGGGAGGAAGAGGGGAGUAUGGCACAAGGGGCGGAGGCGUGAGGCAGAAACGCGGCGUGGGGGAUGACGCCCUUCGGGUUGUAAACCGCUUUCGCCUGUGGGAAGGCGUGAGUGGGGGGAAGGGGUAAAAAAGCACGGGAUAAAUAUG